Molecule: transfer RNA, 64 nt
Filed under: Parachauliodes yanbaru
Lineage: Eukaryota; Metazoa; Arthropoda; Insecta; Megaloptera; Corydalidae
Description: tRNA-His
Source: RNAcentral
ACUUAGGUAGUUUAAUAAAAAAUUUUGAUUUGUGGUGUCAAAGAUAUAAUGUUUAUUCUAGGUU